GCGGAGGGGAGCAGAGGAGCUCGCGCGCUCGUGAAGAGGAUAAGGAAGGAGAAAGAAGAGUAUGACAUAUGGGACCCAUGUGUAAGUGGGUGUGGAGUGGGAGAAUUGAAGGAGCCGUUGGGUUUUAGAGGGUGAAAAAUGAAGAGUUUGUUGGAGUAUACCUCUUAAUAUGAAGAGCAAUCUGUUUAAAGAGUUAGAUGGAGAGUCAAAUAGAGAGUCAAAAAUAACUAGUGUGUUGGAGUUGCUCUAACAACCGACUGGCUAUCCUCUUGAGCUCCUCACCCGAUUUUAUGAUUUUAUACGAACCGUGCAGGUACGAGUACAUGCCAAUAAUUAGAGCUGGAAGCUCCAGGUCGCUUCCAGAUCCAUCCGAGGACAGCAGCCAACCGACAGCAGUAGCUAGUCGGUUUUUAGUGGCUCCAUCCCAUGACUGCAGUCACGCACUCUCCCUCCAUCCUAAAAUAACCAUGCAAAAACAAGAUUAAAAAAACUCGAAAACACUCGAUCUGUGAUGACUAGACAACCUGGUUUUUUUUCGAAAGCGUGCAUAUGCACGUGCUUCGUUAAGAGGAAGGGGAAAGUUUACAAUCUCCACAGAGUCACGGCGAGGAGCCGCACUGAACAUAAAGAGAACGCAACAGAUAACUGAAAAAGGCGAAAGGGAGAGACCCUCCACCGAUAGCCUAAACAACUGAACCUGCAAAGAAAAAACACCAACACAAGGGAGCCAAAAAACUAGAUAUGGCGCAAACAACACGGCGGCAAAACAUCUGCCAGAUCAUCACGGUGGCAAAGCAUCCACCCGAGCACACGACGACAAAGCAUCCGCCAAUAGACAGGGGCCAAUCACACCCUCAGCGGUCGGCAUGAGGGAAUAUGCAAUUCAUGUGGUACAAGUUUCUUGGUUUUCAAGUUGUUGGAGGAGAAGGGGUGAGAUUUGUGUUCAGCAAAAUCGACAUGCAAAGUCCUGACAAGGAGUAUUCUUUUUGCAUAAAGCUUAUUGAUGAAAGAUACAUCUUAGUCCAUUGUGCUCCCUUUGUGCAUGGCUCCGAAGAACUUGUGAAGGAUCUUAACUGCAACAAUGAUCUGUACAAAUUUGUGAGGACCAGGAGAGAGAGGUUCCAGAUCGCUACAAUCAGUGGAAAUCUCCAGGCAAUCUCCUUUUGCCCUGACAUGUCAUCCAUAACAUCGUCAUCACUCUCAGCCUUGUCACUCAAUUCCGGAAGUGAAAAUAAUACCAAGCAAAGGCAUACUCGAAGUCGGUCAAAGAAUCAGGAAAUUGCUACUAAGAAAGGACUAGCAUCCCCCGGUUCCAUGGUAUGCGUCGCUCCCCACGAAUAAUUGAACGCUGCUAAAGUUGCCGUCAAAAGCUGGCUCCGGUGUAGCAAAUUCAUCUGCGGCUGGGCGAACUUAAUAGCAGGCAGCGGAAGAUAGACACUUGGAGAUCCAUUAACCAUCUGGGAGGACUCUCAAUUCUCCAUGGCGACUUCCUACUCUCCUUCCAACAGCAAUGGGACGCGGAGAUCUGUACAGUAAAAUUUAAGCACCUCUGUGUGGCAGAUGAUUAGAUCAGGCAUCAAAUAUGAACUUUCGAUCCCUGUGUUGACACAUAGGCAAUGCUGUAUUUUUUUUUGUCUGCUACUUGGCAUUUCCAUCUCAAACUCCCACCAUACCUCUCGGUUUCACUGUUUGCAAUUUUUCAUUUGCCUAAUAUUCUUAAUAAUCUAGGUAUUAUAAGCUUGUUCUAGCCUCUGAGACGGAGACACUCUUCUACACAGUUUAGCUUGUAAUUUUACAUGUUGACAUGGUUUAAAAAUUUGCCAGACCAAAAUGU
Panicum virgatum (switchgrass) is the source of this 1834-nucleotide long non-coding RNA. RefSeq lists it as uncharacterized. The transcript has 5 exons. NCBI's taxonomy places the organism in Eukaryota, Viridiplantae, Streptophyta, Magnoliopsida, Poales, Poaceae. The record is from RefSeq and is a predicted model, not a curated record.